GAUUAGCAAAAAGCAAAAACGGAUUUCUCUUAUCCGCCUGUAACUCUCCUCCCCUUUCCCUUUCUCUGGAACUCAAAUCCUCCCUGAGGAAGAUAAAUCCUAACUGGUGUAUAACAGACAUCAACCUACCGCUUCGCCUGGCGGAUUUGAGGCCGGCGGCACGGCUGCUGCUUCUCUGGAUCGCGGUCGAUCAGGGCAUCUCGUGGGUGCCGAGGGAGUGCUGCUGCCGGAUUCGAUAUCGCCACCAUCCCUAUUGCCACCGAUGAGAUCCAUUUUGUAUCGGCAUUCUUCUUACGCCCUAAUGCCUCCGCCUCUUGCUGUGGCAUCUUUGGUGGCCUCUCCUGUGCGUGCACGUGCCUCGGCGCCGGUCUUUCCCACGUCUUUUGCGGUUGACUGUGCUUCGAUUUCGUCCCUCAGUCUCACGAAUAGCUCCCUGCUGCUGGUCCAUAUGAUGUUGAUGUUGAUGCUCGGGAAGCUGCUGGUUCAUCCGUUCAUGUUGAUGUUGAUGCUCGGAGGCGUGCGAUUUUGUUGGCCAAAUGGCCUAUUGAUUCUACGGAUGGCUAGCUGACUACUCUGUUUUCUGUUUUAUGGCGCUUUAACCGUUUCAUAGGCUGUAUGGACUGCCAGCUAUCUACUUCAUGUUCUGCUAUAUGUUAUCUGUCUGUUAUGGUGUGCCUCUUGGUAUUACCAAUAGGUAUAUAUAUGUACUACUAAUGCCACUAUGUAUGAAUAAUCAGAUGUUUGUGUGCAUCUGGGAGGUUGGUCUGAGGGUAAAGCAGAAAUAUUUGUGUGCA
Triticum aestivum (bread wheat) is the source of this 794-nucleotide long non-coding RNA. RefSeq lists it as uncharacterized. The transcript is spliced from 2 exons. Lineage: Eukaryota; Viridiplantae; Streptophyta; Magnoliopsida; Poales; Poaceae. The record is from RefSeq and is a predicted model, not a curated record.